UGUUUCCACUGCUCAUUCUUCACUCGUUUGUGGACCAAGGGACGUGCCCACUCUGGCACCUUGUCCCCAGGGUCUGGGAAGCAGUGCUGCCACCUAGGGUUCCAAUCGGUAUGAAGAAGGGCUUUGAUAUGGAUGGAGCAGAGGUGGCCAUCCCUUGGCUGGACCCUUAUUUUGAAUCUAGAUUUGCAUUUUGACGCCAGCUGCUAACUUUCUAAAUGCCUAAUCCACAGUCUUCCUAUCCUUCUGACACUAUUUCUAAGCAAGGAAAUUGUUUUAGGGCAAAAGAAAUGGGGCUGAUUUUUAUGGAAUAACUGGUCUCACCCCAUUAUCCAGGACAGUGGGUGUUUUUGAAUGGCAGAGUGGCUUUUGGAGACAAAGUUAUAGUGCCACCUGACACAGAACGCCCUGCCGGUUGGUGAUACCUUCUGGCAGUAUGCAGUGUAUACUCAGAACUCACAACCAGGCUGCUCCCUUAGAGCCCUACUCAGGGGUCUAGGACUCGGAGGGAACUGAAGUGACCUUUCACAUUUCCACCUUUUGACCAACCGGCAGUUUUGUCCUUGUCGUCUCUGUUCUGGGGGCUUGUUAGCCUGCUCUACUCUAAAGGCCUCUCUUUCCAGGGGAGCCAUGUUCCCUAGGAGAGACAAAGAGCACGCCACUGAACUGGGAGACAGCAGCCUGGCUCCUUGGAGCACCUCUGGCAUUGACACAUUAGCUCAGAUGAGGCUCCUCUUCUGACAGAAUUAUCUGUCUUAAUUAUCAAGCAGAAAUGUGCAUACAGAUACGUGACAAGCAAGGGAGGAAGCUGAGGUCAGAGAGGUAAAGAUCCCUUGACUCUGAAACCUUUGUGCAAUGGCUGCACCCACCAGACAAUAGGGCGCCUCAGGAAAGGUGGGGAUUUCACCUCGCAGAGAAUGGGCGAGCCCUUCUGUACCUGCUCUCAGCCUAUCAAGGUGUUUCUCUAUUCAUCCAGUCAAAUGGAUAUAUGAGCUAUCUUAUCUACUUUACAGUUAACUCAUCAUUUGUUUUCAUCAAGAUUGACUGGGUUAUGCUGAAACCACAAACAACCUCAGAAUUUCAGUGGCUUAAUAAUAAUGCGUCUUUCUUUUUUACUCAUGAUCCAACAAGGUCUAAGGAGGUGCCAGAGCAGAGACUUUAGGUUUUGUAAUCAGGUUCUCUGACCUAGACUGCUGGAGUCUCAGGGUCAGCACAGGCUUCUAGGAUCUCUGAGCUGGCAAAUAAGGGGGGAACAAAAGGAACAUAUGGAUUCAUGUAGUGCUAGUCUAUGAGACUAUCUCUCAGCAGGAACAUUAUUUGUAAUCAAUACAUAGAUAACAGUACAAAGUAAGUGUGGCAUCAGCCAGGUAGCCUGGAUUUCAGGAAGCAACAGUCAUGACAAGAGCAAGAAAGAGGAAGUUGGUUUAACAUUGGGGUUCAGUGUAAUCUCAGUCACAGAAGAUUAAGGAGAGCAGGGAGUUAUGUAAGAGUGCUGUGGAUAAGCACACAGAGGCAAGAGGUAGAAAAUUAAAAAAAAAUUUAAAAAGUGCUGUGGAUAAGCACACAGAGGCAGAGGUAGAAAAUUUAAAAAGUUAAGGAUGAUUGCUAAUAAAUGAUUGAAUGAGUGAUUUACACACACACAUGCAUGCACGCACGCAACCAUGCACACCCACACACAUACACAGAGAAUUUAACUCCUUAUAGGAACAUUUAUCAACAUCUUCUAUGAUGAGAUUAGUUGUUAAGAAUAAGCUCAUAAUUAGAUAUUUAUGUUUUUACGAUAUUCAGGUAAAUUGUUUGCUUUAUUCCAUAAACAAGUUUAAGUUAUUCUCAAGCAUGUAACAUUUUUGUUGCAAAGAAAUCCCUAUUAUAGGAAGGCGGUAACCAUGCUUUGAAGGCUAGGUGUUACCAGGUGCUGGGAGGAACAGCAAAAGUAAAAAGCACUUCUGGCUAUUUUCCACUAGAUGGUGCUAUUAAGUUCAAGAGUCAACCUGCUGUAUUUUUUAGCGCAGGAAUUUGACUAAUUUUAGAAGAUAUUUAUAUCGUGUUACUUUUCCCUUUUACAUCAACAUUUAAAACAGUGUUCAAACUGAUUUUACUCAUUUUGGAAGUAAAAUAAUCACACUUGUAACCUCAGGAAAUUUGAAAACCCUGUUAACUUCUUAAGGAGCUGGUAUGAGAUUAUUUGCUAUUUUUACUGUAAUUCAUAGAAAUGAUAUUUUUAUCUAAAAAGUAGUUUUUUGGGUCAUUUUUUUACCUGUGUUGUGAGUUUUGAUCACAGCUGUUUUUCUUUUCAGGAGAAAAAGUUUUCGUUUGAGGACUACUAAAAGAGUAGGGGUUACAUAUUUUCAAUUUUUUUUAAUCAGGCAAGAAAAUGUUUUGAGUGGUUGUGUUUGUGAGUAAAAUUAGACUGCCUUUGAGAGUACUUGAAUGGUUUCACUUGAAUUGCCAUGAGACAUUGUAAACAAAACCAAAAUUCUAAAAAAUAAAAAGCACUUCUUUCAAUGCCUGAAUAAGGAGUACAAUAUAUGUGUAAAGAUUCUGCAAGUGUGUGAUUACAAAAUAAUAAGGAAGCCAACAACUUGGUUUAGGUUUCUUUUCUGUGAAGACACAGCCGGAAGAGACCUUAGGAAUUACCUAGUCCCUAUCCAUCACUGUACAAAUAAAGAAACUGAGGUUCCAGACCACAUUUUAAUGUACUUGAGAAAAAAAGGAAAGAUUCUGAUACAAGCUUUACAAAGUGCUUGCUUACACACAGUGUCCAAGAGCAGGACCCAAUUAUGAGUAAAGAUUAAGAGUCUUCGGUCCGUGUGUAUGGACCAUCAUCUAUGGUCUUCAAUAAAAGUCGUGCAAUUAAAAAGUGGCACUGGGAGAUGGGAAAAUACCGUGUUCCUGGAAUCAGCUUUUACGGUGAAAAGCAUGGACCUGGGAGUCAGGUAGAAUCAAAGGAUGAGUUGCAUAUCUUUCCCUUUCUCUGACACUAAGCUUAUCUAUAAAAGGAGGUAAAUAUACCUACUUCAUGGAGGUGCGAGGCAGCCUAAAUGAAAUAA
This 3047-nucleotide long non-coding RNA is filed under the name Sus scrofa (pig). Its description in RNAcentral is "lncRNA (ENSSSCG00000051960.1)". Lineage: Eukaryota; Metazoa; Chordata; Mammalia; Artiodactyla; Suidae. The record is from RNAcentral.